UGUAAAUAGCUUGUUUAAAGUUUGGGGAAUAUAGAAGGAAGUUAAGAAAAAUAAUUUUUAUAAUUUUAGUAAUUUUUAAUGAAAAUUAAGUAAAGACUAAAGAGAAAAGUACUGUGAAGGAAAGUUGUUGAGAUUUUAUAUAGAAAAAGUAAAAUUUUGUGCCUCGUGUAUCAGAAAAAAUUUAUAUAAUUUAGUUAAUGGUAAGUAUCUCGAAAUAAAAUAUAGUAAUUUUUAUAAAAUUUUCUUUUUAGAAAAAAAGAAUUUAAUAUAAAAUUUAAAGUGAAAUGCUAGCUGAGUUUUAUGAUAUCUAGUUUUUUAAAAAAUAAAUUUAAUUUAAUUUUUACGAAGAAAGAAUUGUAAAAUUAAAUGGUAGGGGGGAUUAGCUCUUUACGGAAAAGUCAAUGAAAUAGGUAGAUAUAAAGAAAUUAUAUAAAUUAGGCUUAGAAGUAGCUAUAUUGAAAAAGUGUUUUAACUAAAUUAUAAUUACUUGAAUAUUUAAGAUAACUUUUGUUAGGUAUUAAAAAAACGGUUUAAACAAAAUAAAACGAAAUAUAAUGAUUUUAUUAGUAAAAUUUAUUAAGUAAAUAAAAAU
RNAcentral lists this ribosomal RNA (592 nucleotides) under Macrophthalmus japonicus. RNAcentral describes it as "partial 16S ribosomal RNA". The record is from RNAcentral. Lineage: Eukaryota; Metazoa; Arthropoda; Malacostraca; Decapoda; Macrophthalmidae.